Sciurus carolinensis (gray squirrel) is the source of this 2056-nucleotide long non-coding RNA. RefSeq lists it as uncharacterized. The record is from RefSeq and is a predicted model, not a curated record. The transcript has 3 exons. Lineage: Eukaryota; Metazoa; Chordata; Mammalia; Rodentia; Sciuridae.
CCCAAUCGGGGCAGGAGGGAGACACUCCAGCCUCCUCCCAGCUUGGGGUGCCUGGCUCUCCCCUGCCCCUUCGCCCUACUGGCCCCAGCCCCUCUCCCCUCCUGGCUCCGCUGCUCUCCCAGCCUCUCCGGCCUCGCUCUCCAUCUCCCGCCGACAUCCUCUCUUUGCCUGCCUGCUUCCCCUCCUUCCCUCAGCUUCCAGGUCUCUGCUGGUCCCCAAGGAGCACUUUGACCUCUGCUCCCCCCUCGAGUGCUGAGGAACAAGCCUCCCCCACCCCACCAUCCCACCACGGGGGCUGCUGAUCCAGAGGCCCCACGCGGCCAGCCCCAAGCGUCUUGCCCGGCUGUGGAUGGACAUGGCCAGGACCAGGAUGAAGUAGAAACCUGGCAAGAGGACCGCCACCGCAGGGAAAGCCCUCUCUCCCUUGGCCGCAGGGACUGGGAGAGAGGACCCGGCUGCUCCUCAGACGGGCCUUUGGCAUGCAGAGCGCUGUGGCUGAACCACCCUUGGCUCUUCCUGCAGCUCCUCCUUCGCAUUUUUCCCCACGCUGUGGUCAGGAGGUCUGUGUCCCCCCAGAGAGUCACACCCUGAUGAUGUGAGGUGGGCGGGGGUCUUUGGGAGGCUCACAGGAGCUUGUUCCAUCCUUCUGCCUGGGAGGGUGUCUCCAGGAGACGCUCCCCUGAGCUCCAGAACCAUGAGAAAGCCAUGUUUGGUGUGCAAAACCAACCGGCUUGUGGCAUUUUGUUAUAACAGCCAGAAGAGACUAAGAUAGCUGCUACGGUUUGGGUCUUAAGUGACCCCCAAAACUCCAUGAGCGGAAGGCUCAGCCCCCAGCGCGGUGCUGUUGGAAGGUGGUGGGACCUUUAAGAGGCGGCGCUUAGCGGGAGGUCUUCAGAUCGCUGAGGAAGUGCCUUUGACUGGGGGGGGGGGGGUGAUAUCCAGCCCUUUCCUCUUCCUCCCUUCAGUUUCCUGCCAGGAGGUGUGUGGUUUGCUCCACCAUGGCUGCCACCAAGAUAGACUGCCUCUGGUCCAAGGCAAUGGGGCCAGCCAACAGUGGACUGAGACCUCCAAAACUGGAGCCAAGUCAACCUUUUCUCUUGACAAGUUGAUUGUCCCAGGUAUUUGUCAUAGUGACAGAAAGCUGACUGACGCACAUCCUACUUCUCAGCUUAAAUGUCACCUUCACACAAUGCCCUGUCUGACACAUCUGAGCAGGACCCCCCUGUUCUUCCCUGGCUCUGCACUGUGUUGCUCCUUUGUGGUGCUUUUUAGCAUUUGUAAUUCCACAUGUUUCUCCUUUGUCAACUAGAACUCUAUGAAGUCUCUGUUUGGUUCAUGACCCAAUUAAGGGCUUGCACACAGUGGGUACUCAUUAAACAUGGAAAGAAUGAAUCCGUGAAUGGCUUCUCUCUCCAUCAUCUCUGAAGAACCUCUGAUCACUUAGAGGAGCAGGAAACUCCUGCCUUCAAGAUCUACUGAGAGAAAACCAGCCACGGUCUGGCAUGCAGCCCCCUUCUGCCUCCAGCCAACCUGAGAGCCCGAGACAACUCCCCCACGCUGUGCCCAGAGGAAUGAACAAGCCCUGAGGCCAAAGUCCCCUGUCCCUCUCUGUGGGUCAGCAGAAAUUCAGAGAAGAAAGGCAUUUGAGAACAGACUCCAGGAACCAUAUACUUUGUUAUUUACAUAAAAGAGUUCUGGGAUUUCAUCAUUUUUGGAGAGAUGGCUGGUGUUUCAUGGAAAGCAGGCAAUGCCCCAAGCUUUGGGGUUCUGAGGAUUGCCAACUACCCUGGGAGGCCGGCUCCUGAAUGCAGAAUGACCAGUCUAGGCAGAGACCUGUGUGCCAAAGUGUGUCACAGAAAUACUGGUCUUGCUGGACUUCAGGGGCCCCACAGGCUCGAACAAAAGGUAUGACAGAGUGAUCUGCAUAGACCAAAGGCCAGAGAGCACCCCUCCAAUGUUUUUGCCUGUUUGGGGAUCUCACAGCCUUUGUACAAGGUUAGAUAUAGUAAGCCCCAAGCUUAAAUGCCACCCCACCUGAACACAUCAAGGUCUUGGG